GAUGAACGCUGGCGGCGUGCCUAAUACAUGCAAGUCGAGCGAACAGACGAGGAGCUUGCUCCUCUGACGUUAGCGGCGGACGGGUGAGUAACACGUGGAUAACCUACCUAUCAGACUGGGAUAACUUCGGGAAACCGGCGCUAAUACCGGAUAAUAUAUUGAACCGCAUGGUUCAAUAGUGAAAGACGGUUUUGCUGUCCCUUAUAGAUGGAUCCGCGCCGCAUUAGCUAGUUGGUAAGGUAACGGCUUACCAAGGCAACGAUGCGUAGCCGACCUGAGAGGGUGAUCGGCCGCACUGGAACGGGGACACGGUCCAGACUCCUACGGGAGGCAGCAGUAGGGAAUCUGCCGCAGUGGGCGAAAGCCUGACGGAGUAACGCCGCGUGAGUGAUGAAGGUCUUCGGAUCGUAAAACUCUGUUAUUAGGGAAGAACAAAUGUGUAAGUAACUAUGCAUGUCUUGACGGUACCUAAUCAGAAAGCCACGGCUAACUACGUG
This 497-nucleotide ribosomal RNA is filed under the name uncultured bacterium. RNAcentral's name for it is "partial 16S ribosomal RNA". It matches the Rfam family "Bacterial small subunit ribosomal RNA", at positions 28 to 507 of the family's 1533-position model. The record is from RNAcentral.